RNAcentral lists this long non-coding RNA (297 nucleotides) under Mytilus galloprovincialis (Mediterranean mussel). Lineage: Eukaryota; Metazoa; Mollusca; Bivalvia; Mytilida; Mytilidae. The record is from RNAcentral.
ACAUUGAUAUGACACAGUGUCUGUAAAUUGUGUCUUUUAAGGAUAAUUUAGUUUGUAUCAAGUAGAUACAUUGAUAGGACACAGUGUCUGUAAAUUGUGUCGUUUAAGGAUAAUUUAGUUUGUAUCAAGUAGAUACAUUGAUAUGACACAGUGUCUGUAAAUUGUGUCUGAUAAGGAUAAUUUAGUUUGUAUCAAGUAGAUACAUUGAUAGGACAAAGUGUCUGUAAAUUGUGUCUUUUAAGGAUAAUUUAGUUUGUAUCUAGUAGAUACAUUGAUAUGACACAGUGUCUGUAAAUU